Picea glauca (white spruce) is the source of this 121-nucleotide non-coding RNA. The record is from Rfam. NCBI's taxonomy places the organism in Eukaryota, Viridiplantae, Streptophyta, Pinopsida, Pinales, Pinaceae.
ACAUGCCUAUAGCAUAGCAUUAAUGCACCAAAUCCCUUUAGAACUCCGCAAUUAAGCACACUUAGGCUAGAGUAGUACUAGGAUGGGUGAUCGCCUGGGAAUUCCUAGUGUUUUACAUGCC